GCCUCGGUGGCACAAUGGUUAAGCAGCUUGGCUGCUAACUGAAAGGCUGGUGGUUCAAAACCACCCAGGGGCU
This 73-nucleotide transfer RNA is filed under the name Loxodonta africana (African savanna elephant). It matches the Rfam family "tRNA". From Rfam's summary of the family: Transfer RNA (tRNA) molecules are approximately 80 nucleotides in length. Their secondary structure includes four short double-helical elements and three loops (D, anti-codon, and T loops). Lineage: Eukaryota; Metazoa; Chordata; Mammalia; Proboscidea; Elephantidae. The record is from Rfam by way of RNAcentral.